GCCUGGCUGGCUCAGUCGGAAGAGUGUGCGACUCUUGAUCUUGGGAUCGGGGUUGUGGGUUCAAGCCCCACGUUGGGUG
Molecule: transfer RNA, 79 nt
Filed under: Ailuropoda melanoleuca (giant panda)
Lineage: Eukaryota; Metazoa; Chordata; Mammalia; Carnivora; Ursidae
Rfam family: tRNA
About the family: Transfer RNA (tRNA) molecules are approximately 80 nucleotides in length.
Source: Rfam by way of RNAcentral